This 277-nucleotide ribosomal RNA is filed under the name Trebouxia sp. P-400-IaSc. Its description in RNAcentral is "partial 18S ribosomal RNA". It matches the Rfam family "Eukaryotic small subunit ribosomal RNA", at positions 1558 to 1831 of the family's 1831-position model. The record is from RNAcentral. Lineage: Eukaryota; Viridiplantae; Chlorophyta; Trebouxiophyceae; Trebouxiales; Trebouxiaceae.
AACUGCAUCGUGAUGGGGAUAGAUUAUUGCAAUUAUUAAUCUUCAACGAGGAAUGCCUAGUAAGCGCGAGUCAUCAGCUCGCGUUGAUUACGUCCCUGCCCUUUGUACACACCGCCCGUCGCUCCUACCGAUUGGGUGUGCUGGUGAAGCGUUCGGAUUGGCGUUAGUGGGCGGUUUUCCGCCUCCUCUCGCUGAGAAGUUCGUUAAACCCUCCCACCUAGAGGAAGGAGAAGUCGUAACAAGGUUUCCGUAGGUGAACCUGCGGAAGGAUCAUUGA